AUUGAACGCUGGCGGCAGGCCUAACACAUGCAAGUCGAGCGGAUGAAGGGAGCUUGCUCCUGGAUUCAGCGGCGGACGGGUGAGUAAUGCCUAGGAAUCUGCCUGGUAGUGGGGGAUAACGUCCGGAAACGGGCGCUAAUACCGCAUACGUCCUGAGGGAGAAAGUGGGGGAUCUUCGGACCUCACGCUAUCAGAUGAGCCUAGGUCGGAUUAGCCAGUUGGUGGGGUAAAGGCCUACCAAGGCGACGAUCCGUAACUGGUCUGAGAGGAUGAUCAGUCACACUGGAACUGGGACACGGUCCAGACUCCUACGGGAGGCAGCAGUGGGGAAUAUUGGACAAUGGGCGAAAGCCUGAUCCAGCCAUGCCGCGUGUGUGAAGAAGGUCUUCGGAUUGUAAAGCACUUUAAGUUGGGAGGAAGGGCAGUAAGUUAAUACCUUGCUGUUUUGACGUUACCAACAGAAUAAGCACCGGCUAACUUCGUG
Molecule: ribosomal RNA, 484 nt
Filed under: uncultured bacterium
Lineage: Bacteria
Description: partial 16S ribosomal RNA
Rfam family: Bacterial small subunit ribosomal RNA
Source: RNAcentral